UACGUAGGGGGCAAGCGUUGUCCGGAUUUAUUGGGCGUAAAGCGCUCGCAGGUGGUUGGUCGCGUCGUGCGUGAAAGACCCCGGCUCAACUGGGGAGGGUCGUGCGAUACGGGCUAACUGGAGGCCAGUAGGGGGAUGCGGAAUUCCGGGUGUAGUGGUGGAAUGCGUAGAGAUCCGGAGGAACACCAGCGGCGAAGGCGGCAUCCUGGACUGGUCCUGACACUCAGGAGCGAAAGCGUGGGGAGCGAUCCGG
RNAcentral lists this ribosomal RNA (253 nucleotides) under uncultured bacterium. RNAcentral describes it as "partial 16S ribosomal RNA". It matches the Rfam family "Bacterial small subunit ribosomal RNA", at positions 524 to 776 of the family's 1533-position model. The record is from RNAcentral.